UACGGAGGGAGCUAGCGUUGUUCGGAAUUACUGGGCGUAAAGCGCACGUAGGCGGCUUUGUAAGUUAGAGGUGAAAGCCCGGAGCUCAACUCCGGAAUUGCCUUUAAGACUGCAUCGCUUGAAUCCGGGAGAGGUGAGUGGAAUUCCGAGUGUAGAGGUGAAAUUCGUAGAUAUUCGGAAGAACACCAGUGGCGAAGGCGGCUCACUGGAACGGUAUUGACGCUGAGGUGCGAAAGCGUGGGGAGCAAACAGG
RNAcentral lists this ribosomal RNA (253 nucleotides) under uncultured bacterium. Its description in RNAcentral is "partial 16S ribosomal RNA". It matches the Rfam family "Bacterial small subunit ribosomal RNA", at positions 524 to 776 of the family's 1533-position model. The record is from RNAcentral.